Molecule: long non-coding RNA, 3181 nt
Organism: Scophthalmus maximus (turbot)
Lineage: Eukaryota; Metazoa; Chordata; Actinopteri; Pleuronectiformes; Scophthalmidae
Exons: 4
Source: RefSeq, a predicted model, not a curated record
UUGUGCCCGCACGCGUGCCCGAUGCCCGGCAGCGCGUCAUACUCGCACAGGAAGCCCACGUUCAGCACCGGGCCGCCGCCCCCGCCGCCCGGACCCCAGCUGGCCCGGAAAGCGGUCGGCAGCUUGUAGUGACGGUGGACCGUCCACGCCGGGUCCUCCUGAGAGAAGAAGCGGAGCAGCCUGUCGUGCGCAUGCGUCUCCUCGCCGCCGAGCUCCGGACGGACCCAGAUGUCCCGACUCAAACUGUGCAGCUCGUCUUUCAGCGCGUCUAUGCGCCGCUGCAGCGUGUCCUUCAUCUGCUGUCGCGUCUCCAUGAGUCCGCCAGUCUCAGCAGAGGGACCCAGAGAGACAUAUACUAUGCUACUCAGAGAAGCAAGCAAACAAUGCUUUCCCUUGUUGAGGAUAAAGUGGGAACUGGCCCUGAAAAACAAGGACGCCCCAGAGGACGACUGGCUUGACAGUUAAAAAGAAUGGAUGUCCUCCUGAUGACAGCAUGUCUCUGAAACGGGAGAUGGAACAACCAACAAAUAAUGCCUGUGUGUGUGUGUGUGUGUGUGUGUGUGCGUGCGUGUGCGUGCGUGCGUGCUCGUAUUUGCAGCUGCCACAAGAGUGUGGUCCACAUUUUAAUGUGUUCCUCUACUCCAAAUAUUGUCUGCGAUGUUUGCCAGGAAAAAAUAUAUACGUGAUGAAUAAAAAUGUUAUGGUAAGUUAAGAUUGUGAGAUAUAACUCAACAACACAUUUUCAGUGACUUUUUAUCCAUCAUGUCCUAUUGUGUGUCUGCUCCUUUCAAAACUGUGACAAAUCACGGUUAGAAAUAGAUUUUAUGAUCUGACAACGCUGUGGUUGAGGUUUAGGCACAAAAACAACUGGGUUAGGGUCAAGGAAACAUUAUGGUUUGAGUUAAUUGUUCAUCAUCCUGGUUACAAUAAUAACCGAGUAGUUGAGGCAAGGGAAGGAACAUGGGGAUCACUUCACGUUCAUCCACGCGACCUUCUAUUCACAGACUCUGUUGCACUUUAUCAACAUCAGGGAAAUCUAUUUUGAUUUCAUUUUUAAAUUAACUUAAAAUCUAUUCAUAUUCAUAUGAAUAAAUUCAUAUUUUUUGCAGAACAAUGAGGGCACAAAAAGUGACUCAAAGUGCAUGACACACAAACGAACAUUUAGUAACAUAUAGAAACCUAUAUUCAUAUACUGUAGUUAAUUUGCUCAUCACACUCUAAUGCAUAAGCAGUAUUUUCUACAUCAGAAAUUAGAAAACGGAAGAGUUUGUUGGGUACAUUCAUGUCCAGAUAAUGUAUGAAGGGUCCCUUUCUGUGAAAUAUAUGUAUGCGGCCUUCAGCAGCAUAUGUCAGCUUUCAUAAAGAGUCUUCAGCUCUUUAAUAAAAGUUGCUACUUCAGUUUUUUUCCACUGAAGGACGGAAAAAAGUCUUUGUCCUGAAGUGAAAAUGAUUCGAAGGGUCACCAAGUUUACCUCGGAUUUCGAUAAUUUAAUAUCAUCAGUAGAGAGAUUUUUUUUUUUUCCCCAUUGAUUGAUUGAAUUCCAUUUAUUUCUGUAUGAUGUGAUUGGCAGCCUGGAACUGAAAUCUGUUUGUUAUGUCACAAUUUCACCUUUUGAGCUGUUUUGAUGUUGUGUUUUUUUUUUUAAAGCCACGCUUUUCAUUUAGCUUUUUUCAUAACUGGGCUUCCGCAUUGACCUCAAUUCUACCAGUGCACUGUUUUUCCUGACAAGUCAUUGAUGAGACUGAUUUUAAACAUGAGAUUCAAGUUGACUAAAGGAAACUGACAAUGUACCAUUCGUGCUUGCUCAGUCCUGUCAGCAUUACUGUCAAACAAAAUGCACCCUUAUAGGAGUCCCCCGGAAAUCCAGCCUGCCACGUUCGAUAUUGCACAGCAAGCGGCUUGCUAGUUGGAAAAUAUCCCCGAAGGGCCUCGGGAAUGUGUAUACGUGUGUGUGUGUGUGUGUGUGUGUGUGUGUGUGUGUGUGUGUGUGUGUGUGUGUGUGUGUGUGUGUGUGUGUGUGUGUGUGUGUGUGUGUGUGUGUGUGUGUGUGUGUGUGUGUGUGUGUGUGUGUGUGUGUGUGUGUGUGUGUGUGUGUGAGAGAGUGUGUGUGUGUGAGAGUGUGAGUGUGCACAACUUGUCCUGUUUCUGUCAUUAAUGUCACAUCAGUGCACACAAUGUGCCGCUGCGUUCUCCGAGCUUGAAUACAUUAACACCUCGGUUUAUCAAGUCAUCGUGCACCUUCAGGGGUUUGAGUGGGGGUAGGAUUACACUGUACAACAUUUGUCUGGUUUCUCUGAUGCAUGAUGGUUUAUGAUUGAAUGUAGCUUCAUCCUGGUCUUGUAAGUAUGUAAACCCACUAAAAAAAAGACAAUUUUAUUCCCAAUCUAUGCAUGUGAAUUCAAUUUCUAAAAAAAAGAUUCUAGAACCAGAAUCCACAUUUUCACAUGAAUUUGUGUCUGUUUUAUGCUUGACCUCUUUAAAAUAAGCGCUUUUACGUUUGCUGUCCUGAACACCGUUCAAUGACGAUUCCUGUUGAACACAGAUAGAAACACGUUUUCUCAUCUCGGGUUGCAGCAGACAGUGAAGCUGCUCGCAGACAUGCACAGAAGUCAGGACAUGUUCCUGAAUCCAGACGGGCUGUGAGAACACAAAUGUCCACAACAGUUGCUCGAGACAUUUUCAAGAAUUUUUCCUGCCAGCCCCGUCAAAUGUCUGGACAAUGUCCGAGUGAGCCCAUGUCAAAAUAUAAGGAAUAUCUCCCAGGCGCCACCCCUCGCCCGAAUGUUCCGGAAAUGUUUCCGCUGUUGUGAACAUGUCGGACCUGGACAAUCUCCUGCUGCGUUCUUCAUAUUAGAAUGGCAAACUCCGGGAGAUGUCCAGAUCCAUUUUUCCAGACCUUUUCCCGAGUUCAUGUCAACAGAACAGAAGAUUUGGGGAGGGAGGAGUCUAGUACACGUCUGCAUCUACAAAACAUCCGAGUCAGGACUGCAGAGCGAAAAAUUCUCACCGAAGUACAAAACCUUAUAGAUUCCUGUUUGAUCAGAACACAUUUCUUCAUCCUUUGCUUUUCCCUAACCUCAGGUUUUGUUGCAUUUUUCUACCAAGUCCUCCCAAGAAGUUCACAUAGCUGCCCUCUGUGCUUCACAGGAUGCCCUGUAGUAGCGCUGCCCUUUCUUUGUU